Molecule: long non-coding RNA, 1548 nt
Organism: Topomyia yanbarensis
Lineage: Eukaryota; Metazoa; Arthropoda; Insecta; Diptera; Culicidae
Exons: 4
Source: RefSeq, a predicted model, not a curated record
ACAGAGCUGGCGGAUCCUAUCCUAGGUUUUAUGCUUGCUAAAUUAAACAUGGCAUCCGGGCCCGUGGAUGUAAACAUAAACAGAAGUCGUAAAAGAAAUAGAUUAUUAAAGGAACGAUCCAUCCGUGUUUCUCGUGUGUUAUUCCAGGACUGUUGCUAUAUUUUCUAGCAGGCUUAUCGCGUGCAGCACUGCUUGCUGAGGCAGCUAAGGAAUUUAUAUUCACGUUCAGGUAAACACUGGCGAAGUCCAUUGAACCACAGAAAAGUUAAUCAUUGGUACCAUUUGACGAUUUGUGUAAUUCGAAGACCUUCCCGUGAAUAUACUAGUGGCCAACAUUAUUGAUCGGAGCAACAUAACGACGGUACAGAUUCGCAAGGAUGAAAAUAAAACUGAUUACGAUACGAUGAACAAUGUGAUGAAUAAUUUCAUGAAUAACGUGAAAAUGAUGGAACUGAGCUGGAGGAAUAUGUGAAAAUGGGUAUGCUCCACACAUUUCACUAGCCAAUUUAGUGACACGCCCGACUAGAAGCGAUGAAGUUCAAGGUAAACAGCUGGUUUAGCGGUUGCUGCUAUAUUGCCUGGGAGCGCCAGUUUGUGAACUAUUGUACAUUACAUGCCCAUUACGGAUGUGAUCGAUACAAACAAUAUCUCUACUCCGGCCAAUGGUGUGCUAGUUAGACCGAUUUGCAAUCAGCGUAAUGGGGUUUUUCAUUGAAAAACACUUGGCAGUGUAUUGCACUGCUGUUGUAUUUUCGAGAAUAAGAGCAGGCCACCAGACAAGUUUCAUUCUCAUUUAUGCUAGAAAGUGCAAAACCAAUGCAAUCCACUACCCCGGUGAUUUCAAUGAAAAACGACAUAAGUCAGUGGAGUUUGUGAUCCAAGAAAAACCAGCUGAAGUUAUAUGCAUAUACAGUAUAUGUUGUAAGAGUACCGGUCGUUACUCCAAAACAUAUGCAUUGUGUGAUGAACGAAUAGAGCCUUGCCUUAUCCUGUUAAUAUGCAUUCUACAAAUUAUCGAUGGUGAUGUGGGUGAAAAGCUUGUCGACGUGAAGCAACAAUUCCGUCGUAUGAUAAAUUAAUUCACUAUGCGCUAUAGUUAUGGAAGUAAGUUAAAGACGGGACGUUUCUACCACCAAACUGAAUGUAGAGGACACGAAAGAGGACACUUUGGGAAUUUGUGACCUGCGUAGUUUGGCCUCAAAAGAGCACGGCAUAAUCAUAUUUCAUUCCGAUACAAACAAUAAUGUAGGAGCAUUUCAGGAAACUACGGUGGUCCGACUGGUACCGGCAGAAAGUAUCUGAAUGUUCAAUGAUCAAUAACGAUUUGGUUUUCUACGGCCAUUCAAUAGUAUGCACACAAUGGUUCAGAAUCGGUAUCAACUAGUGCAUCUUGAACAUCAUAUACUUGGCUUUACCACUAGGAGCAUCUGGAUUGCUUAAUAAUGGACAUCCAGUGAACGAGUUACGGACGUAAACGUGCAACCAUAUAGUCCUGCGUUUUGAGACCUAUGUUAAAAGGAAAAAUGGAUGUUGUAAAACAAGAGAAUU